UGGUAGUUCCCAGUGACUGAAUCUUCGCCC
This 30-nucleotide non-coding RNA is filed under the name Mus musculus (house mouse). Lineage: Eukaryota; Metazoa; Chordata; Mammalia; Rodentia; Muridae. The record is from RNAcentral.